AGCGAACGCUGGCGGCAGGCUUAACACAUGCAAGUCGAGCGGGCAUCCUUGUGGUGUCAGCGGCAGACGGGUGAGUAACGCGUGGGAACGUGCCCUUCGGUUCGGAAUAACUCAGGGAAACUUGAGCUAAUACCGGAUACGUGCGAGAGCAGAAAGGUUUAUCUGCCGAAGGAUCGGCCCGCGUCUGAUUAGCUAGUUGGUGAGGUUACGGCUCACCAAGGCGACGAUCAGUAGCUGGUCUGAGAGGAUGAUCAGCCACACUGGGACUGAGACACGGCCCAGACUCCUACGGGAGGCAGCAGUGGGGAAUAUUAGACAAUGGGGGCAACCCUGAUCCAGCCAUGCCGCGUGAGUGAUGACGGCCUUAGGGUUGUAAAGCUCUUUUCUCCGGGACGAUAAUGACGGUACCGGAGGAAUAAGCCCCGGCUAACUUCGUG
RNAcentral lists this ribosomal RNA (437 nucleotides) under uncultured bacterium. Its description in RNAcentral is "partial 16S ribosomal RNA". It matches the Rfam family "Bacterial small subunit ribosomal RNA", at positions 29 to 507 of the family's 1533-position model. The record is from RNAcentral.